CCUUGGCCAAAUCAGAAGAGGAGAUAUUACAGUAUAUCAUAUCAUAUGUAAUUCAAUAGAAGGAAGCAGAGCUGGAAGGCUGGAAGCAGCAUUAGUUUUUGGAGAUAUUUGAGCUAUGUUGAGACUUGAGAAGGCCUAAAUGCCUGGUUACAAAAAUGGAACAUAAAUGGAGCUUUUAAGUAUAUCGUAUUGGGAUUAUAUUAAGAAAUGAAACGAAGCAGCAUGGAGCAUGGUGAAUGAUCUGGUUCAGCAACCUCUGACAUCAAUUGUGAGUUGUGACAAACUUACAUUCAGAGCAAAGAGCAUGUAUUAGAAAUUUAGAACACAAUAAAUUAAGAUUGACCUGCACUACAAAUCUCCCAAGUUUGUUCUUGCAAGUUGCAACUAAGUUUGGACAAAACUUAGGAUAUUUCACUUUUUACAUAAAACCAAAAUACAUAAAAAGAAUUUCAAUGGUUUAUGUUCAAAAACCAAGAAGCUCUAUAGUUAUUAUAGUUAACAACAUUACCUUUUUUCAAAUUCUGAGUAUGUCAAGGAUAAUUCCAAUAGCUCCAGCCUCUAGCUCUACUACUGACAUCCCUGUUUUGUCUUUACUUAUUCUGUUUCGAUUCCCCAUCCCUGGAUCGUCUCUUCCAUCUCCCUUGUCAAAUUUCUGGGAGCUUUGGUUGGACAGUGACGCCAAGUUACUCACUGGUACUUGAAUCCAAGCACCCUGUUACAUGAUUAUGAUGAACAAUCGCCAAAAGCAAUUCUUGCAUGGUAUGUCAUAUUAUAUUUGUUGCUUGCAUUGUUUAAGGCCACCAUAUGAACUGCAACAAGAAAAAUAGGAUGUAAAUAGGUGUCAUUCAUAUUGCAUUAUUCAAACUCAAGAUGAUAAUAGUCUGAUUGGAGUACAUACAUUCAAACUUUGGUUAAGGACAUAGAAUAUACUUGCAGCUUUGUCUUGAAAUAUAAACAAAUAAAACGAAAAGCAGGCAUAUUAGACAUUUUAUACAAUAUCAAAUACAGAUUCAACCAAAUAACUAAAUGUUAUAAGAUCUCGAACAAUUAAACAUUUGUACAUGCAGUAUAAGAUGUCCAUCAAAAUAUGAUAUAAUAUGGUGCCUUCGUUCUCCCAACUGAUAUGGUAACCAAUAGUACUCGCGCCAGGACCUUCAAGGUGAAUUGUUGAUCA
Molecule: long non-coding RNA, 1174 nt
Filed under: Aquilegia coerulea
Lineage: Eukaryota; Viridiplantae; Streptophyta; Magnoliopsida; Ranunculales; Ranunculaceae
Description: long non-coding RNA (ACOE_LNC001984)
Source: RNAcentral